This 429-nucleotide ribosomal RNA is filed under the name Bacillota bacterium. RNAcentral's name for it is "Firmicutes bacterium partial 16S ribosomal RNA". It matches the Rfam family "Bacterial small subunit ribosomal RNA", at positions 355 to 776 of the family's 1533-position model. Lineage: Bacteria; Bacillati; Bacillota. The record is from RNAcentral.
UAGGGAAUCUUCGGCAAUGGACGGAAGUCUGACCGAGCAACGCCGCGUGGGUGAAGAAGGUUUUCGGAUCGUAAAGCGCUGUUGUUAGAGAAGAACGUUGGUAGGAGUGGAAAAUCUACCAAGUGACGGUAACUAACCAGAAAGGGACGGCUAACUACGUGCCAGCAGCCGCGGUAAUACGUAGGUCCCGAGCGUUGUCCGGAUUUAUUGGGCGUAAAGCGAGCGCAGGCGGUUCUUUAAGUCUGAAGUUAAAGGCAGUGGCUUAACCAUUGUACGCUUUGGAAACUGAAGGACUUGAGUGCAGAAGGGGAGGGUGGAAUUCCAUGUGUAGCGGUGAAAUGCGUAGAUAUAUGACGGAACACCGAUGGCGAAAGCGGCUCUCUGGUCUGUAACUGACGCUGAGGCUCGAAAGCGUGGGGAGCAAACAGG